RNAcentral lists this ribosomal RNA (399 nucleotides) under uncultured Actinomycetales bacterium. Its description in RNAcentral is "bacterial SSU rRNA". It matches the Rfam family "Bacterial small subunit ribosomal RNA", at positions 360 to 771 of the family's 1533-position model. The record is from RNAcentral. Lineage: Bacteria; Bacillati; Actinomycetota; Actinomycetes; Actinomycetales.
AAUAUUGCGCAAUGGGCGAAAGCCUGACGCAGCGACGCCGCGUGCGGGAUGAAGGCCUUCGGGUUGUAAACCGCUUUCAGCAGGGACGAAGCGAAAGUGACGGUACCUGCAGAAGAAGCGCCGGCUAACUACGUGCCAGCAGCCGCGGUAACACGUAGGGCGCAAGCGUUGUCCGGAAUUAUUGGGCGUAAAGAGCUCGUAGGUGGUCCGCUACGUCCGCUGUGAAAUUCCAGGGCUUAACCCUGGACUUGCAGUGGAUACGGGUGGACUAGAGGUAGGUAGGGGAGAAUGGAAUUCCCGGUGUAGCGGUGAAAUGCGCAGAUAUCGGGAGGAACACCGGUGGCGAAGGCGGUUCUCUGGGCCUUACCUGACACUGAGGAGCGAAAGCGUGGGGAGCGA